This 1024-nucleotide long non-coding RNA is filed under the name Ananas comosus (pineapple). RNAcentral describes it as "long non-coding RNA (ACOM_LNC034258)". The record is from RNAcentral. Lineage: Eukaryota; Viridiplantae; Streptophyta; Magnoliopsida; Poales; Bromeliaceae.
CGAGAAGCAAUCGAAAUUACUGCGCAUAACCGACCCUAAGGUGAGUUAGCAUUCCGUCAUAGGCAAAAUAGGGAACAUGGAUUAUUUUUUAUUUAUUUUGCCUCGAGAAGCAAUCGAAAUUGCUGCGCAUAACCGACCCUAAGGUGAGUUAGCAUUCCGUCAUAGGCACAAUAGGGAACAUGGAUUAUUUUUUUUUUAUUUUGCAUCGAGAAGCAAUCGAAAUUGCUGCGCAUAACCGACCCUAAGGUGAGUUAGCAUUCCGUCAUAGGCAAAAUAGGGAACAUGGAUUAUUUUUUUUUUAUUUUGCAUCGAGAAGCAAUCGAAAUUACUGCGCAUAACCGACCCUAAGGUGAGUUAGCAUUCCGUCAUAGGCAAAAUAGGGAACAUGGAUUAUUUUUUUUUUAUUUUGCAUCGAGAAGCAAUCGAAAUUACUGCGCAUAACCGACCCUAAGGUGAGUUAGCAUUCCGUCAUAGGCAAAAUAGGGAACAUGGAUUAUUUUUUUUUUAUUUUGCAUCGAGAAGCAAUCGAAAUUACUGCGCAUAACCGACCCUAAGGUGAGUUAGCAUUCCGUCAUAGGCAAAAUAGGGAACAUGGAUUAUUUUUUUUUUAUUUUGCAUCGAGAAGCAAUCGAAAUUACUGCGCAUAACCGACCCUAAGGUGAGUUAGCAUUCCGUCAUAGGCAAAAUAGGGAACAUGGAUUAUUUUUUUUUUAUUUUGCAUCGAGAAGCAAUCGAAAUUACUGCGCAUAACCGACCCUAAGGUGAGUUAGCAUUCCGUCAUAGGCAAAAUAGGGAACAUGGAUUAUUUUUUAUUUAUUUUGCCUCGAGAAGCAAUCGAAAUUGCUGCGCAUAACCGACCCUAAGGUGAGUUAGCAUUCCGUCAUAGGCACAAUAGGGAACAUGGAUUAUUUUUUUUUUAUUUUGCAUCGAGAAGCAAUCGAAAUUGCUGCGCAUAACCGACCCUAAGGUGAGUUAGCAUUCCGUCAUAGGCAAAAUAGGGAACAUGGAUUAUUUUUUUUUUAUU